This 244-nucleotide long non-coding RNA is filed under the name Olea europaea (common olive). RNAcentral describes it as "long non-coding RNA (OEUR_LNC009259)". Lineage: Eukaryota; Viridiplantae; Streptophyta; Magnoliopsida; Lamiales; Oleaceae. The record is from RNAcentral.
AAACUUACUCGAUGUUUCUGUCAUUUUCUAAUCUUGGAGCUAGGGGGACUUAAGGAAUCAUGUCAACACACCGUCAACAAACACUUAAGUAUAGUUUUGAGGACACACUUGUUUUGUCAUCUUUGGUCUUUGUAUUUCUUUGCCGAUGUCAAUUUAUCUUUUGGAUAUUUUUGGUUAUUUUUAACAUUGAUGUUUUCCAAUAAUUUUAUUUUAUUUCUUUACGCACUUUGACCAUCAAUUGUAC